This 307-nucleotide unclassified non-coding RNA is filed under the name plant metagenome. Its description in RNAcentral is "partial contains 5.8S ribosomal RNA, internal transcribed spacer 2, and large subunit ribosomal RNA". The stretch from base 1 to 105 matches the Rfam family "5.8S ribosomal RNA", at positions 50 to 154 of the family's 154-position model. The record is from RNAcentral.
GAAAUGCGAUAAGUAAUGUGAAUUGCAGAAUUCAGUGAAUCAUCGAAACUUUGAACGCACAUUGCGCCCGCCAGCACUCUGGCGGGCAUGCCUGUUCGAGCGUCAUUUCAACCCUCAGAACCCCUUGCGGGAUCUGGCGUUGGGGAUUGGCAUCCAGCCAGCCCCGAAAUCUAGUGGCGGUCCCUCCGCGACCUCCCCUGUGCAGUAGCGAUACCUCGCAGCGGGACAGCGGUCUGACCACGCCGUAAAACCCCCAACUUCUCAAGGUUGACCUCGAAUCAGGUAGGAAUACCCGCUGAACUUAAGC